Molecule: ribosomal RNA, 491 nt
Filed under: uncultured bacterium
Lineage: Bacteria
Description: bacterial SSU rRNA
Rfam family: Bacterial small subunit ribosomal RNA
Source: RNAcentral
ACGCUGGCGGCGUGCCUAAUACAUGCAAGUCGAGCGGACCAAAGGGAGCUUGCUCCUGGAGGUUAGCGGCGAACGGGUGAGUAACACGUGGGCAACCUGCCUGUAAGACUGGGAUAACAUCGAGAAAUCGGUGCUAAUACCGGAUAAUAAAAAGAACUGCAUGGUUCUUUUUUGAAAGAUGGUUUCGGCUAUCACUUACAGAUGGGCCCGCGGCGCAUUAGCUAGUUGGUGGGGUAACGGCUCACCAAGGCGACGAUGCGUAGCCGACCUGAGAGGGUGAUCGGCCACACUGGGACUGAGACACGGCCCAGACUCCUACGGGAGGCAGCAGUAGGGAAUCUUCCGCAAUGGACGAAAGUCUGACGGAGCAACGCCGCGUGAGUGAUGGAGGUUUUCGGAUCGUAAAACUCUGUUGUUAGGGAAGAACAAGUGCCGUUCGAAAGGGCGGCACCUUGACGGUACCUAACGAGAAAGCCACGGCUAACUACGUG